GACGAACCGAGCGAACGUUAUUCGGAAUCAUUGGGCUUAAAGGGCGCGUAGGCGGGCGAUCAAGUCCGGGGUGAAAGCCCCCAGCUCAACUGGGGAAGUGCCUCGGAUACUGGUCGCCUCGAGGGAGAUAGGGGCGUGCGGAACUUCCGGUGGAGCGGUGAAAUGCGUAGAUAUCGGAAGGAACACCGGUGGCGAAAGCGGUGCUCUGGGCCGGAACUGACGCUGAGGAGCGAAAGCGUGGGGAGCAAACAGG
RNAcentral lists this ribosomal RNA (253 nucleotides) under uncultured bacterium. Its description in RNAcentral is "partial 16S ribosomal RNA". It matches the Rfam family "Bacterial small subunit ribosomal RNA", at positions 524 to 776 of the family's 1533-position model. The record is from RNAcentral.